GUUGAGGCGGUCAGAUUAGGCCGGGCUGGCUCACACGAGGGUCCCGGGCUUGGCUUUUUCCUGCCCGUACCACUGGACAUCAGCUAGUUCUGGAUAGAGGGAGGAAUCCAGGAAACAGCUAUCAUUGUAGCCCCUGUGGGAGGCCCAAGAAAGGAGAUGAGACAGUUAGUGGAGGAGGACGGGCUCAGCCAGGCCUAGACUGAGAAGGAUGUGUUCACCUUGACAGGGCCCUGUGCUAAUCACGAGUCUUUCCUGUUCAGAGCAGUGAGGCCUGAGACCCUCAACAGUGCUGCGUGUACAGAAGGCCCCAGAAUCCACACAAAGGGGCCGCCUGAAACCUAGAGCAUUUGUGAAGGAGGAAAACGUAAGGAACAACUGGAUGUUGUAAAUGUUUCUCAUCUGGCCUGAAAAUCCACGAAAGCUGGAAAAUCCCAAGGCAUCUGUGCAUAUACUGGUGGAUUUUAAUGAGAGUCCUGUGCUUGGAGCACCAGAAAUAAACCAGCUUCAGAAGUAAAGUAAGAAAAGGCCCUUGAUUAUGACACUGGCCACGGGUAUUACUAUAUGUAGGUGGUAAGUGGACGUUUCUGGGAUACCUGUCCUGCAAACUUUCUUUCCACCCUGAGCUGACUUUUGAAAUUGUGCCUGACUGAAAAACUUCUAAGGGGAGAGGUGGUUGGGCCCUCCAGGGGUCCUGUGUUUCUCUUAGGGGGACAAUCUCUCCCUAAUUCCAUGUGGUCCUGGUGGUGUUCUCCACCAUGCUGCCAUCCUCACUCCCGGGGGGACCAGGGGACAAGGAACCCAGUGGGGCCGGGCCAAUGAGUCCCCCGAUCACAAUCCCUGGUUCAAAGAUGGCCAUGUGCCUGAGCAGCUUUGAAACCACAGAGAUGUCAUUUCCUCCUGAGAACGAAGUUAACAGGAGGAGGAAGCAGAGCUAGAGAUAGAAUGAGACCCAGCCAGCCCAGGCUCCAGUGACAUCAGCCGGUACAUGCUCUUGUUUGCUUACUCUUGUUAAACUGAGUUUUUCAUAUGUAACUAAUGAAUACUGGCACAUGUAAGUAGUUUCUUAAACUGUUGAUGGAAUGUUUGUUUCUAACACGAACAUGAUCUGGCUCUGUUUGGGACAAAACUUCCCUAAGGGGCUUCAUGAGAUCUAAAGAACCACUGUAGCCAGUGUUUCCCAAAGUAGUCCUGUGAGUUGCUCUGAGGGGAAAAAAAAGGUUCCAUGGAUAAAUACAUUUGAGGAGUCUGCCUUUCAGAGGCCUGAAAUGUAAAUGUAUAUAUUAAAGGUUCUGAGAAGUCCUGGAUUACUGUUUGCCCCAGAACUUCUGGAACAGUAUCACCUAUGAAGAUCCACAGAACACACUUUGAAAAACACUCUUAAAUAGGCUAAUAUUAUAAAAUGAGGUUGACUUAUCUUGUAUGUUGGAUCCUGAACAGUUUGUGGUUCAAACUAUUACUGUUAAAGUUGAGUAAUAAUUGUGACAAUAUAACCUGCUUCACAGGGACUAAAAGUCCACUAUGUAUUGAUCAUAAAGGCUCAAGGAGAGACCACCGAGUUCAAAGCAGUGACUGGAUAAGGCAGUAGAUGAGGUUAAGGGUUCCUGUGGUGGUUUAUUCGGUAUGUGAAGAGCCUAACCCUUAGCCUAACCCUGUGCUGUUCUCCUUCUGGGUCACAGAACCCAUACAUGACAGGGCACUGGGAUCUGGAUGAUGGGGUGGGAGAUGCUGGAUCGGUGGUUUGGUUCUCAGGUGGCUCCCCGAGGGGCCACAGUAUGGAAACCCUGGCCUGCUCCUGCCUCUGAGGAAACUAGAGCUGGAGGAAAAGAGGUAAAGAUGUAUUUUUCCAAAAUUGUGAUGUCUUACACGGAAUCUUUCUUAGUGCUUCCCCAUCAUUACUGAAGUAUGUAAGGUAGUUUUAAAGCUAUAAAUGUUGCUUCAUGUAUUGGUCUCUUAUUCUCAAGUUUAUUCUCAAGUUGGGGGAAGAGACCCUUGUUCUGGCUGCUCAGCUAAGCCUUUCAGUACAAAUUCAAUUUUAGGGUAAUAGUCAAGGAAUGCCAUGUGCUACGAAAGCAAAAUUAAUGAGAGCGACCAUUUAGGAAGCAUUUAUUCUUCAUGAAUAAUACAAAUGGGGCCACUAAAUAGUUGCCCUAGUAAAGUCAAGUCAGUCAUUCACUGGAAUAUGAGCUGGGGCAGGAUGAAGAUGUAGCUGUGCUCUCUAAACUGUGACCCAGCAGAGCAGCUUAGCACUGGGCAGUCUGGGUCACAGAAGUGACAACGUCAGAAUCUGUGAGGGCCAGUGCCUGUGGGGGCUUUCCACAGGAAGAAUGCGCUUUCCCAGAACUAUGCUCAGAGACGUGUGGCCUGCAAAGUGUACUGGCCAGGGGCCCUCUGAUACCAGACAGAUGGCAAAUUCACCCACAUCUCACAGGAUUGUGUGGUUUUUAAGUGCUUGGCAUAGGGAGGUGGGGCUGCUGGGAGGGAGGAAUUUCAAACUGAAUUAUUUUUGUAAAUGUAUAACUUACAAAACAACUGGUAGCACAUACUUGGGUUGUUGAAUAGUCCUGCAGUUGGGGACGAGGCCCUCUAGAGGCAUCCUGUCUCACCUGGUCUGGGAAGGUGCUGUUGCUCAGUAUAUGUAGGUGUGUCCCUGCAUGUGCACACAUGUAUGCAUGUAGAUAUUUCAAGCAGAUGUGCUUACAUUUCCACAGCAGCUCUUUCAAACCUGGUUAGUUCUAGUUCUGGCUAUCAUCCCAACCUCCAUCACCUUUAACAGAUGAGAUGAUCGGCCCUUCCAUACUGGGGGAGAAAAAGGCCAUUCUUCCUACUUCAAAAAUACUGCUCUCAUGACAUCAUCCUAUCUUAAAAUCUCUUCUUUUUUCUGGCACUGGCCAGGGGGUGGUCUACCUUCCUUCCAAAGCCUAAGUCCCUGUCCCCCGAUUCCCCAUCUGCCAACUUGGCAAUAUUGUCCGAGCUUGUUCUCUUCAGGAAACAAGACUCUCUGUUAACCACCCCUCACGCUUGUCUGUGCAUCCGUGUUUUUGCACUUGGAAUGGUCUCUCCCUGUCUCAACCCCCUCCUCCCACCGCAGGCUUCUGAGCCAGGCUCACAUAACAUCUCUGUGAACUCAAAAGUCACCCUCUCGUUUCUGAAUCCUCUCAGCGUUUUGUUUCUAAGUCUUAGAGCACUGAAUACAUAAGUGUGGCAGUUUCUCAUGCUCCUCGUAUAUCUCCUGAUAGACUGUAAGGGUCCUGGAGCUAGGAACCAGACCAGGUGUUUUCUGCCCCUGUGCUUUGCAAAUUUCGACAUGCAUUUUAUUCACUCAGGAAUCUUGUUAAAUGCACACUAGGUUCAGUAGGCCAGGGUGGUGCCCAGGAGUCUAACUUUCUAACAAGCUCCCUGGUGAUGGUGGUAGCAAUAAAAAUGCUGGCUUAUGGACAUUUCGAAAAGCAGUGCUCAUAGCCUUUGGUACUCAGCACAGCUGUUAAGAAUGCUGGGAUGAAAUGAUGGGGGUGCUUCUGGAUCAACUCAGUCUGCCCUUGGUGCUUUGAAACUUACAUUGCAGUGAUGCUGUUCUUUUCAGGAACAGUAAAAUGUCUACAAAUAUUUGAAUAUAGGUAGAACAUGGUGAGUCUAAAACAUACUUUGGGGCCAGGCGCACAGAUCACUUCGAGACUAGCCUGGCCAACAUGGCGAAACCCCGUGUCUACUAAAAAUACAAAAAUUAGCCACGUGUGUACCUGUAGCUACUAGGGAGGCAGGAGAAUCGCUUGAACCCGGGAGGCAGAGGUUUCAGUGAGCCAAGAUCAUGCCACUGCACUCCAGCCUGGGCAACAGAACAAGACUCUGUCUCAAAACAUACUCUGGGGGUCUUUUCUGGGAAGCAGUGUUGGGAAUAUCUAACAUCUGAUGUAAGAACCUCCAUCUAAAAACAUAUAGUUCGCCAUGUAUCUGGAAAUAAGGCAUAAAUACAGCACUCAGAUGUAUCCUUGUGGAAACGGUGACACGGAGAAAAGCAACACACAUGCAGCACAUGUGGGACCACAGACUCAUGGGCAGUAGGAACAAAACUCCUCUUACGGUACCUCUAUUCAUCAGUACUUUGGUGAGGUGGAGACUCAGACCCAUCCAGAAUGGGUGAGUUUUCUGUUGCUUCUCUGAACAAAGGAAAGCAGGAGGAGGAAGAGAAGAGAGGUCAUGUUACAGAGAGAAACUGACACAGACACGAUUAGCAGCUUAGUAAUACAUCCGAAAGGCCCACCGAUUAGAUACCUGAGUUAGCAACAGAUCAUACAAGUCAUGCAGUACUUUCAGUCCCCAUAAUUGAGUCAAAGACGUAAUUUGUUAGGAGGGAUGGGCCCUCUUUGGCACUUUUUACCCAUGGCCUCAUUUCGUGUCACAUCAUAGCAAAGAGUUUAUGCAAGAACCAAAAUAGCUGUUUUGUUUCAGAUUUGUCUUGAGUCCUCACUAGUUGUACAUGGUGAAAUAGGCAAGAUUCAAGACCAUCUUAUAUGUGUAGGACCCUGAGGAGUGCUUGUACAUUUCAGAGCCUGUUGCCAAAUACAAUCAUAUAUUUGGAUCGGGUGAGACUGGGCAUGAUUCAGAAAAGAUCUACAGAGGGAUCUUAAGUUUCUUGUUUAGUCACUGGAGGUAUGUAUUAUAUAUAUGAAAGAUGUGUCAUUCUUUUAUGAGCUAAUCUUGGUGAGACUCUUAGACCCUAAACCUUGCAGAGGCUGCCUGGCCACACAGGUGAGAGCUGGGGUGUGGGUGGUACGUGAGUAGGUGUUAAUGAUCUAGAGUUAAGGACAGAGGGGCAGCUACUGCCCGACAGACAGCCCAAGAAGUAGGAGUAGACACAGGAACAGCGAGUUGGGGCUCCAGUUUCCCUUAUUUUAAAAGGAAUUAGAGGCAGCAUGGGAUUGGUCAGUGAUGGUCAAACUUGAGUGUGUGUCAGCAUCACCUGGAAGGCUUAUCAGAAAGCAGCCUGCUGGGCUCCACCCCCAGAGUUAUGGAUGUUUUUAGGUUACAGGUGAGCCUGAGAAUUUGCAUUUCUGAUAAGAUCCUGGGUGAGGCUCUCACGUGCUGCUGCUUUGGGACCACACUUAACUACCGGUAUAGUGGGAAAACACAGGGUUUGGGGUCACAGAGGGCAGAGCUAGGAUUCCAGCUCCCUCCAGCUGUCAGACUUUGGGCCAGGCACUUAGUUCCUCUGAGCCUCAUCUAUGAAACUAAAACGUCUGGGUAUUUCUGUUGCCAGGGGACGAUAAGGAUUAUAUGAGCUGUGUGUUAGAAGCUGCUCCCAGCCUUUGAGUACACAGCAAGCACUCAGUGUUAGAACCCUUUCUCUCUUACCAAAAAUGAAGGCUCCAGAAAACCUUGUGUAAAAAAUUACUACAGAUAAACCUGCUACAGAUAAACCUGCAGGAACAAAAAUGCCGGCCAGUGCCUGUAAUCCCAGCACUUUGGGAAGCCGAGGUGGGCAGAUCACCUAAGGUCAGGAGUUCGAGACCAGCCUGGCCAACGUGGUGAAACCCUGUCUCUAAUAGAAAUUUGCCAGGUGUGGUGAUGCACACUAGUAAUGCCAGCUACUAGGGAGGCUGAGGCAGGAGAAUCACUUGAACCAUGGAGGUUGCAGAGAGCUGAUAUUGUACCACUGCACUGCAGUCUGGGCAACAGAGUGAGACUCCAUCUCAAAAAAAAAAACGGCCAAGUAUGAAAGCCUGAAAGGCAGGCAUUAGAGCCAAUUCUGGAAUUGUGCUUUUCUCAUGAUUCAACUCACAGCCAGUUGUCAGAUUUUCCCAGACAUCCCCCUGAUGCUCCACCAAACCAGGAACCAGACAAACUGAGGAAGGGGACUCCUUACUCCUCUAACCAACAGAUGUUGACAGAACAUCUACUUAGAGUGAUGUCUCAGGGGCAACAGAAGAGGCAGGUGCUGUAGGGCCAGGUGGGUUACCUGUGUCUGCCAGACCCUCCACUAGGUCAGAACAGCCUCACUGGCCCCGAGAUGAUAAUGCUGUAGGCGAACUCGUCAGGCUAUCAAAAGAGCCGCCUGUCGGUUUCAUUUAUUUUGCUGUGUACGGCUUCCGCUGAAGGCUUCAGGGCGCCUGAUCUCCUUUGUGUGUUGAUAAAGAGCAAGUGCUUGGCCACGACAUAGCCUUUUUUCUUGCAUCCUGAGACAUCCUAAGACAGUGGCCGUUUCACCUGCCUCUCAGGGUAUUUGCUGUCUUCAGCUCUCUUUCUCCCCCUGACAUUCGUGCCUGGGUACAAUCCCAACUGAAAUCAAAUGCUGUCUGGAAAUCUGACCAAAGCAGCACAGUCCCACUUCCUGCUUCCAUCUCCCCACAUCCCAAGGACCACCGUCUACUUUAAGAGAACACAGACAAUUCACCUCUAUAAAGGCACAGCCAGGGAAAGGAGUAGGCAGAGAUGACAGCGGAUCAUGGGACUUCUCUUGAAGACACUUCCCAGUGACGAACGCUCAUCGUCCAUUUACUGACUUAUCCUUAUGUCACUAGGAUCUGAAUAUCUACAACACUCUUUCGAGUGGACACAGUGAAGAACAUGGAAGGAGAACUCACCCAGUCUGCCAGGGUCACAGAUGAUCAUACUCAAGAUCUUCCUGGGGAGUCAAUGGCAAAUUUCACUGGGCUAUUUUACAGGUGAAGAAGGAGCAUAAAGAAGGUUCUAGGACCUUGAAGUCCACGGAACACCCACUAUUGCCUGAUCUCUGGAGCUUGUCAUUUGGCCAAUGGACCCUAAUAAACAUGUCCACCAGGAUGUGGGGAUAGAAUGCCGGAGCCUGGCUCACCUGGGCAGCCAGGUUCUUCCUCUUUGCCCUGCUGUCUCCAGGCACCAAGAAUUUCCUCCAGUUCCCCAAAGAUGAACCCCCCAUUAUCUCAGGUCACUGUUUCCCCUGAUCUUUGCCAAAUUCCUGACUCAGAGUUCCUCCCAUUUGCUUCUGACUCUCAUUUUAUUCUUACAAUGUUUACCAUUUCUGUUCUUCUCAGUGUCCCUCUCUGAGUGGUAAGAAUAUGUUAAUAAGCCAGUGCUGUGACCAGAGCACAAGGCAAUUGCUCAUGUUGGUCAGUGUCACUGUUAUUAAAUGUAACUUAAGGGAA
Non-coding RNA from Macaca mulatta (Rhesus monkey), 7118 nucleotides. Lineage: Eukaryota; Metazoa; Chordata; Mammalia; Primates; Cercopithecidae. The record is from RefSeq and is a predicted model, not a curated record.